AGACACCGCUAGGGGAGCACGCGCUGAGAGUCGCCGUCCGGAUGGACGGGGCAACCCUCUGAACCUGACCCGGGUAAUACCGGCGUAGGCAAGCGGGCGACGCAACGA
RNAcentral lists this non-coding RNA (108 nucleotides) under Candidatus Zhuqueibacterota. RNAcentral describes it as "Candidate division TPP sequence". It matches the Rfam family "TPP riboswitch aptamer (THI element)". Rfam says of the family: Vitamin B(1) in its active form thiamin pyrophosphate (TPP) is an essential coenzyme that is synthesised by coupling of pyrimidine and thiazole moieties in bacteria. The previously detected thiamin-regulatory element, thi box was extended, resulting in a new, highly conserved RNA secondary structure, the THI element, which is widely distributed in eubacteria and also occurs in some archaea. Lineage: Bacteria; Pseudomonadati. The record is from RNAcentral.